AAGAGAAGGAAAACAUACAUAGAAGUGCUAUAAACGUACAUGUUGCCUAUUUUUUCUUGCGCGCGUCAAUUUUGUUUUUCAAAUUACUUUUUUAUGAUUGAUUCUUUAACACAAAAACAAAAACAAAAA
This 129-nucleotide non-coding RNA is filed under the name Pycnococcus provasolii. The record is from RNAcentral. Lineage: Eukaryota; Viridiplantae; Chlorophyta; Pseudoscourfieldiophyceae; Pseudoscourfieldiales; Pycnococcaceae.